RNAcentral lists this ribosomal RNA (477 nucleotides) under uncultured bacterium. RNAcentral describes it as "bacterial SSU rRNA". It matches the Rfam family "Bacterial small subunit ribosomal RNA", at positions 365 to 832 of the family's 1533-position model. The record is from RNAcentral.
UUCGCAAUGCCCGAAAGGGUGACGAAGCGACGCCGCGUGUGGGAAGAAGGCCUUCGGGUUGUAAACCACUGUCGGGAGUUAAGAAAUGCAAGGAUAUGAAUAGUGUCUUUGCUUGACUAAGGCUCCGGAGGAAGCCACGGCUAACUCUGUGCCAGCAGCCGCGGUAAUACAGAGGCGGCAAGCGUUGUUCGGAAUUAUUGGGCGUAAAGAGCACGUAGGCGGCUAUGUAAGUCGGUUGUGAAAGCUUUCCGCUCAACGGGAGAACAGCAUCCGAUACUACAUGGCUUGAGUGCGGGAGGGGAGAGUGGAACUUCUGGUGGAGCGGUGAAAUGCGUAGAUAUCAGAAGGAACGCCGGCGGCGAAAGCGGCUCUCUGGCCCAUAACUGACGCUGAGUGUGCGAAAGCUAGGGGAGCAAACGGGAUUAGAUACCCCGGUAGUCCUAGCCGUAAACGAUGGGCACUAAGUAGAGGGGUUUU